This is a long non-coding RNA of Topomyia yanbarensis, 2557 nucleotides long. RefSeq lists it as uncharacterized. Lineage: Eukaryota; Metazoa; Arthropoda; Insecta; Diptera; Culicidae. The record is from RefSeq and is a predicted model, not a curated record. The transcript is spliced from 5 exons.
AUAGAAGGUAUUACCGACGAUUCCGCCGGGAAUCCUACCUUUGGAUAUAGGUUGGUUACCCUAAUUGAACAGCAUUAUUCUUGUCAGGAAAGUUCAACUUACAAUAGCGCCUAUUUAUAAUUUGUUGUCUAAUGUUUAUCAACAAAAAUAAAAAAAAUAACAUUACUAUCCAAAAAUAUUGCACCAAUGCAGUCAAAUAAUGAUCGACUGGCUCAAAAUGUUGACAGUAAGCUGGCUCAAGAUGGCGUCUUCGCAUAUCUCUCCCUAGAGGAUAACUACCCAGCAGCAGAACACGGUGAUAAUGAGCCAACAGUAAAUACAACAUCAAGAUCCUCGGAAAGGACUUUCUCUUUCGAACAAACAUAAUGGAAGCAUACUCUACACGCGCGACAUAUUCAAUCGGGCCAACCGUGUGACUCGUUUGGAAAAAAGCGCUCAUCAUCGGUUUCAUGGCAGCGAAGUGAGCAGACAAAAGAAGGCGUUUUUUUCCGCAAGGUCGCUCUGGGCAAAAGUUCAGCCAAUUGCAAGUAAUAAACCACCGGAGUGACAGUAUCCGUGCUGUUUGGGACCUUUUUCCAUAUAUUGUAGCUUUUGAAUUUUAAUACCCGGUCGAAACGAUGGCAAGUGCUGCCGAUAACUGGGUCAAAAAGGCGGAGGGAGGAUCAGGAAAUUUCUGCUCUCGGUUUUGAAUUUUUCUUUUCAAUACAAAUAGGUUAUCGAUCUGAGUAUCCCUAAGGAUAAGGAACCAGAGCCGGCGGCUGUCAGCCCAAAGAAAGAGAAUGCGGAAAAACCUAGUUCACCGCCAGUAGAACCAGCGAUCAAAUUACUCCCUUAGAAACGGCUGCACCUGCAGUUUUGUUUUCGGUAGCUACAGAAAUUAAGACUUUAGCAGCUCCUGAAGAAAAAAAAAGCUGCUAGCGAAAAUGGAGAAACAGCUUCCUCCACGGAAGAUGCAGAGGCAUUCAACCCGGCGGAUGCAAGUUUGCUAAUUAAACUUAUUCGCAAAGGUCUAGUAGAAUCAAAGCUGGAUCUGGGGGUGAAGGAUCCUUCUUCGCCGCUAUACUUGGUUAAAACUUUCGAAGCUUUGCACAUGAAUUCGGAACUGCUUCAGGGAGUCUAUGUUAUGGGUUUCAACGCUCCUUCCAAGAUUCAGAAGACGGCUCAACCUACUCUGUUGGCCGAUCCGCCACAGAACAUAAUCGCCCAGAGUUGGUCGGGAACAAGAAAAACCACUGCCUUCGUGCUGGCAAUGCUCAAUCGAGUCGAUCCGUUGAAAAACUAUCCGCAGGUGAUUUGCCUCUCCCCACGUAUGAACUGGCAAUUCAGAAGGGGAAAGUAGCUGCAAAAUGGCAAAGUUUUGUGCGGAAAUCGAACUUGGUUAAACCGUUCGCGGUGAGAAGAUCGUCAAAGGGGCGAAGCUGACUAAUCAUAUCAUCAUCGGAACAGCCGGGCGUUCGACCUUAAGAAGAUUGCAAUUUUUGUACCGGACGAGGCGGGCGUUAUGAUCGCUGUUCUUUUUAGCCACGUACGAGCGGGAGGUGAUGGGAUUCGCCCAGUACAUCGUAACCAAUCCGAUCAUGAUUCUUCUGGUGCGGGAGCAAGAAUCACUCGAUAACACCAAACACUACUACGUCAAAUGCCGCAACCAGGACGAGAAAUAUCAAGCAAUUUCAAACAUGUACGGUGUGAUUACCGUCGGACAAGCGAUCAUUUUCUGUCAUAUGAUGUAUAGGACAGUUGUAAACUCCAAGUAAACUUAUUUUCGGCAUUGUUAAUCGAUCGAAACAGGCACGCAAAACGGCUGGUUGGACCAGGAUAAUCACUCAGUAGCGGUACUGUCCGGUGAUCUAACGGCGGAGCAACGGUUGGCCGUUCUGGAUCGAUCCUGAGCCGGACUAGAGAAGGUAUUGAUUGCAACGAACGUUUUGUCUAGGGGUAUCGAUGUUGAACAGGUGACCAUUGUCAUCAACUUCGACCUGCCGAUGGAUUAGCAGGGACGAGCCGAUUGCGAAACGUAAUUUGUAAUUUAUUUAUCAGCAGAACGAAAACUUGUCAGUUACAUAAACUUUGUAUCAAGUCAAGGAAAUAUCUACAUCGAAUUAGACGCACCGGUAGAUUCGGUAAGUGUGACUCAUUCUUGUGAUCCUAUAGAUUGUAUUUCUUCCCACUUCUUUAACAGAACGGAAUCACCAUCAACCUAGUGGGCAGUGAUCGAAGCAUGAUGAUUUGCAGAUCAAUCGAAAAACACUUCCGGAAAAAGAUUCAGUUGCUAGACGCGGAGAACUCGGACGAAAUUGAAAAGAUCGCACCGUAAAGUGUUUUCGACCAGCUACUGGUGAAAGGCAUAGGAGCUUUUUUGGGUCAUACUUGUUAUGAUUCUGAAUUUAUAAUUUUAUUAAUUUUUUUUUCUUCCUUGACCUGACAUAUGUAACCAACAGGGUAAUAAAUUUACAAUUAAAAUUACAAUUUAUCUCUACCCAGUUCUAUCCAAACAUUUGAAAAGGGCCUAACUGCAAAAUGUAACAAAUUGAAAUUUCAUGUUUUCCAUUAACAAAUA